UACGGAGGGGGCAAGCGUUGUUCGGAAUUACUGGGCGUAAAGGGCUCGUAGGUGGCCAACUAAGUCAGACGUGAAAUCCCUCGGCUUAACCGGGGAACUGCGUCUGAUACUGGAUGGCUUGAGUGUGGGAGAGGGAUGCGGAAUUCCAGGUGUAGCGGUGAAAUGCGUAGAUAUCUGGAGGAACACCGGUGGCGAAGGCGGCAUCCUGGACCAUUACUGACACUGAAAAGCGAAAGCCAGGGGAGCAAACGGG
Molecule: ribosomal RNA, 253 nt
Filed under: uncultured bacterium
Lineage: Bacteria
Description: partial 16S ribosomal RNA
Rfam family: Bacterial small subunit ribosomal RNA
Source: RNAcentral